UGUGUUCCUUUUCAUUUUUUCUUGAAGUAGUUGUCUCCAAUAGAUAUACCAUUGUUAUGGGGAUAUGACCCUUUGAGGAUCUCCAAAUACAUGAAAAAACUUCAAAAAGUAUUGAAACACCCUGUCAGAUACAUACUGAUAUCCGACACUCAUAUCUAAGUCUGAGUAACAUAGCUAGCUGAUAUUGAUAAUAUGCACCACCUUCCUCUCUAACUUGAUUUGUUAAUUCUUUCCUAAAACUGGUCAGCUGUUUCUGCUGGUUAGCUGUUCGAUUCUAUUACAAUCAAGCAACAUUUGAAUGCACUUGGAAUAUCCUUAAAGGAAACAUUUCUUUAUUUGAUAUUGGGUGCAGUAUGUUUCAUAAGGCUUAGCAACACCCUUAAGUUUAGCAUGAAAAGUGUCAUCUUUGAUGUUAUUUCUUAUAGUCAAGCAUCAGAGAUCAGAUCUUAUUUGGAAACACAUUUAUAGUAGUAUUACCAUAUCUAUUUGUCAUCAAUGUAUCAAGAACACCACCCGAUGUUACUGUCAUAACCUCUGUUUGACAUGUGGUUAUUACCAUCAACUCCUUUGCCAAACUAAUUUUCUUCAUUGUGAAUGAUUGAUGGGUUACUACCCUGUUUAGACAUGAUAAGAUGUCUUUGAUCUCUAUCCAUAUAUUGUAAGCAUCUCAAAAAAACUCUACUCAUUCAACUUCAUUGCUAACUUUUAAGCUUGCUUUUUGAUCUUAGCCAUUUACCUCUUUUUCCCGUCAUGAUGUCUGCUUUACAAAGCUAACUUUCCCCAUGAUGAGAAGUGAGAUUGCUAAGGAUAUUUAGUUUAACUGGACCCAGUUUUAUGCCAGUGAUGAUGAAUACAUGGUCUGAGCAUGCCAUGCUGGUGCAGAAUCUGCUAAAAACUUGCUAGUUUGAUUUUUGUUUAUGCAAUUCAUACCGACUAGCAGAGCAAACUGCUGUAAGUUGUUUUGCACUUCAUCCUAUACUUUCCAUGUAUUUUUGCCAUUUCAGGCGUGUUUUAGCCAUUGAUCUCUAUUCGUAAGUUAUAGCAAUGAAAAACACUUGAAUUGGUGUUAUCCCGUAUGAACGGUUGAAUAUUCCUGACUGAUCUUUCUCCCCCCCCCCCUUUCCCUCCGCGCCCCAAAAGUGUAUAUGCUUAUUUUGCUACUGGUGUUCGGAUCAAAUGAUAUGAGAUGAGGAGUGACAACUAGUAAGCUUUUAAAUGUAUGUUCUUUCUGAUGAAAAGCAAAAAGAUGUGUUACACAUUUCAUGCAUAAUAGCAGUUUUUUCCUGCCCUUCGCUGCUGUCCAAAUGUUACAUAUGAGUAUCACGCGUAUAUGCAACUUUUACAAAUUUGAGAUCUUAGGAAGAAAAUAUAUGGUAGUUUUAACCCCUGUUUUGUCCAGGACUUUGCAAGAAAUCAUGCCCUGUAUCGCCUGACAACUUCCAAGUACAUAAUCAAUUUGUCUGCUACAAACAAGUUAAACAAGGGCAGAGUGGGUUACCAUGUCGAUUGUUGGUAUUUACGUACUAACAGUAACAAAAUCGCCUAUGAAAAUAGGUGCAAAGUUGUGUUCUUUAAAAGUGUGCACCCUUUUGCCUUAAUUUCUGGUUAAAAGUUGUAAAGUUCAAAGGCCAAUGCCCUAUCUUUCUCACCAUAAAAGGGGAUGCCUGCAGUGCUAGACAAUCAAGGAAUUAAAGAAGUCCUGGGAUAUGGAUGUAUGGAAGUUAAUCUUGGUUGUGUUUAGGUUGGCAAUGGCUUUUAAGCUGGCCAAGAGUUUGAAUUACCGUGAGAGUAUUUAGCCUCUGAAGAGAGUCUUUGGGAUUUGUACGAGAGAUGGAGGAGCCACCAUACGAUCUCACUUGACCUGACAGAGAAGCAAAAGCGUUUCAAUGUGUUCCAAGGAGAAUCUGAAACAUAUCCACAACGUGAACCAAAUGGAAAAGCCUUACAAGUUCGAACCUGAACAAAUUUGCAGAUAUGACAAACCAUGAGUUCAUGAGUACAAGGAGCUCCAAGAUCAGCCGUUACCUGAUGUUACAUGGUCCAAGACGGAUGACUGGUUUCCGGCUUGACAAAGUUGACAGCAUUCCUCAUUCCAUUGAUUGGAGAAAGAAAGGAGCGGUUACUGGCAUCAGGGACAGUUUUUUUUGGAUCCAACAGUCAAUUUACAAAUAAACUUAACUAUAAUAAUUAUCAAGAUAUCGUGCAGUUCGUCACAAAUGACAUGUUCCUGUGAAGUAACUCGAGGUUAUUGAUGUCACAGGUAGCUGCUUUGCAUUUUCAACUGUAGUUGCAGUAGAAGGUAUAAACAAAAUGAAAACAGGGGAGCUUGUGACUUUAUCUGAACAAAAGCUAGUUGAUUGUGGUUAGGAGAACUAAGGUAGUGAUGGAGGAUUGAUGGAACCAGCAUUUGAGCUCAUCAAGCAAAGUGAUGGACUAACUACUGAGAAUAACUACCCUUACGAGGCCAAAGACGAGUCGUGUGACUCAUCCAGGGUAACAAAAGAAACUCGAUUUUUUUACCCCUUCUU
RNAcentral lists this long non-coding RNA (2528 nucleotides) under Gossypium barbadense (sea-island cotton). RNAcentral's name for it is "long non-coding RNA (GBAR_LNC013682)". Lineage: Eukaryota; Viridiplantae; Streptophyta; Magnoliopsida; Malvales; Malvaceae. The record is from RNAcentral.